This 395-nucleotide long non-coding RNA is filed under the name Anser brachyrhynchus (Pink-footed goose). Its description in RNAcentral is "lncRNA (ENSABRG00000003445.1)". Lineage: Eukaryota; Metazoa; Chordata; Aves; Anseriformes; Anatidae. The record is from RNAcentral.
CUUAUCACUGUGCAUCAGACCUGUGUUUAUUGAAUCUCCACCAGUCGCUGAGAUCUAUGGCAUGAUUAACAAGAGAUGCACGCAGGGAGUGGAGAGGGUGGCUUAGGAAAGGGGAGGUGCCUAGGGCAAGGAUGUAAUGAUUUUCUUGUCCUUUCCACAGAAGGAAUGCACACAUUGAGCGUUUGUACAGCAUCCAGCGCAGUGAAGCCCCAAUGUGGAAUGCAGUUCCUUCUGGCUACCCAGGAGUUCAUCUACCAUCCAGCUGCUGUGUGGGCUGUGACUGAGCAUGCGAUUAGGAGAAGGGAGAUUAGUGGUUCUUCAACACCCUCUUAAUGUAAAAAUGGUGUAUUUGGAUACACGAUAUAGGUAUCUUCAGAUAUGCUGACCUAAAUGUG